GGAAAUUCCACAAGGAAGUGUAACAUUCUGGUUUACUAAUAGGUGCACCAGUCUCUUGAGAUUGACAAUAGAUGCUGGUAACUCACAAACAUAGGUGGCUCUUAUGUCCAGUAUCUCUAAGCACCAUAGGUGUCCGAUUUGUUCUGGGAGCUUACUUACUUUCUCCGCUCUUCGGAGGCUCAGAUACCUCAGCUGAAACAACAUCCCUAUAUUUUCAAGAUGAUGGUUCUCCAGCUGUUUGCAAUCAUCAAAGUCCAGAAAACGCAAAUGCGUGAACUUAUCCAUAGAAGGAAUUUUCACAGAUUCCCCAAACACAUCAAGUGAUCGGACAUGGGACAACACGAAGCCUCUUGGCACUAUCAAUUCUUUUUGCUUGCCGGCUUGCAGGGAGAGCCGGCGAACUUUGUUGUGUGUCCCAACAGUUAAACUAGGAACACCUACCAAAGUAACAAAGGUUUCUUCGAUGGAUUUUGAUAUGAUGAAAUCAAGAAUUGUGUCGUGAAGUCGACAACUCUUGAC
Molecule: ribosomal RNA, 519 nt
Filed under: Triticum aestivum (bread wheat)
Lineage: Eukaryota; Viridiplantae; Streptophyta; Magnoliopsida; Poales; Poaceae
Description: partial small subunit ribosomal RNA
Source: RNAcentral